Molecule: ribosomal RNA, 2616 nt
Filed under: termite gut metagenome
Description: bacterial LSU rRNA
Rfam family: Bacterial large subunit ribosomal RNA
Source: RNAcentral
UAUGAGCGGUCUUGCGUAUUUAUCGUCGGCGGCAAGAUACCGUAUGUCAUAGCCAUACUCGGAAAAGGUGUUCAUCUCGGCAAGCUGAGCUAUCUCGUCAUACAUAGGAUCCUCUGUACUAAAUCUCACUAUUUCGCCAUGCUCGUUGUCAUAGCGGGCAAGCAACGCGAUUAUACUCUCCCUUGAAAGCGUAGCCGAACCGCAUGGGAAGGCGGGCCGGAGCGGGUGAGAGCCCCUUAGAUGGUUUAAUUAUAGUCAGUCUGUUCGAGAGUAGCCCAGGGCACGAGAAAUCCGGGGCGAAGACGGGGGGACCACCCUCCAAGGCUAAAUACGAACCGAUGACCGAUAGCGAACAGUACCGUGAGGGAAAGGCGAAAAGCACCCAGAGAUGGGAGUGAAACAGACCUGAAACCGCGUGCGUACAUUCUGUCGAAGGAUGCGUUCACGCAUCUGACGGCGUGCCUUUUGUUUAAUGAGCCAGCGAGUUGCUCGUCCGUGGCGAGGCUAAGGAGCAGGAACUCCGGAGCCGCAGCGAAAGCGAGUCUGAAACGGGCGUUUCAGUCGCGGGCGGCAGACACGAAGCCUUAGUGAUCUAUCCGUGUCCAGGCCGAAACGGGAGUAACAUCCCGCGGAGGGCCGAACCGAUAUGCAUUGAAACGCGUUCGGAUGAGGUGCGGAUAGGGGUGAAAGGCCAACCAAACUGGGCGAUAGCUUGUUCUCUCCGAAAAAUAUUUAGGUAUUGCGUAUAGUGUUUCUUGACGGGGGUAGAGCACCGGAUGGACUAGGGGGCGCACCCGCCUACCAAACCCAACCGAACUCCGAAUACCGUAUAAGUUAAGCUAUGCAGGCAGCCUGCGGGCGAUAAGGUCCGUAGACGAGAGGGGAACAACCCGGACCACCGACUAAGCGUCCCUAAGAGCGUGCUGAGUGAGAAAGGAAGUGAAGAGGCAGAGACAGCCAGGAGGUUGGCUUAGAAGCAGCCAUCCUUUAAAGAAAGCGUAACAGCUCACUGGUCGAUGCCUUUUCGCGCCCAAAAUUAUCGGGGCUAAGCACGUCACCGAAGUCGUGGAUUCAUAUUUUAAUAUGAGUGGUAGGAGAGCGUCCCGUAUGCCUGGGAAGGAGACUGGCGAUGGUUUCUGGAGGUAUCGGGAAUGAGAAUGCUGGCAUGAGUAUGCGAAAACGCGGGUGGAAAGCCCGCGCACCGAAAGCCCAAGGGUUCCCGGGGAAGGUUAGUCCGCCCGGGGUUAGCCGGCUCCUAAGGCUAGGCCGAGAGGCGACGCCGAUGGGAAGGGGGCGAAUAUUCCCCCGCCUUUGCGAAAUCGUUAUUAACCGAUGCGGUGACGCGCCGGUCAGGGCAUAGCGGCUGAUGGAUGCCGCGGAGAGUGCGUAGGGAGCUAGGGCGGCAAAUCCCCCUAGCGCAUGCCUGAGACGCUUGACCCCAGGAGGGCUUCGGCUCAAAUGGGAGUUGUCCGUGCCGGUGCCAGGAAAACCCGCUCAGGGAGAGUGUGCAAAGACCGUACCCUAAACCGACACAGGUGGGCAGGGCGAGCAGCCCAAGGUGCUUGAGACAACCCUGGAGAAGGAACUCGGCAAAAUAACCCCGUAACUUCGGGAUAAGGGGAGCCUUCCGAUGUGGGCUUUAACAGAGCGAAGCAUUGGAAGGUCGCAGGGAAACGGCAGAAGCGACUGUUUACCAAAAACACAGGGCUAUGCAAACCAGCAAUGGGAAGUAUAUAGUCUGACACGUGCCCGGUGCCGGAAGGUUAACAGGAGAUGUCAGGGAUUCGUCCUGAAGCAUCGAAUCGAAGCCCCGGUAAACGGCGGCCGUAACUAUAACGGUCCUAAGGUAGCGAAAUUCCUUGUCGGGUAAGUUCCGACCUGCACGAAUCGUGUAACGACUUCUGCGCUGUCUCCUCCAGAGACUCAGCGAAAUUGCAGUGCCGGUGAAGAUGCCGGCGCCCCGCGCCUGGACGGAAAGACCCCAUGAACCUUCACUGCAUCUUGGCGUUGGCUUUAGGCGCCGCGUGCGUAGGAUAGGCGGGAGGCAUUGAUCCUCGGCUUUCGGGCUGAGGGGAGCCGUCCUUGAAAUACCGCCCCUGCGUCGCUUGAAGUCUAACCGCGCUCCUUAACCGGGAGCCGGGACACCGCCUGGUGGCCAGUUUGACUGGGGCGGUCGCCUCCCAAAAGGUAACGGAGGCAUCCAAAGGUCACCUCGGACCGGUCGGCAACCGGUCUCACGAGCGCAAAGGCAAAAGGUGGCUUGACUGCGAGACCGACGGGUCGGGCAGAUGCGAAAGCAGGGCUUAGUGAUCCCGCGGCACAGCGUGGAACGGCCGUUGCUCAAUGGAUAAAAGGUACUCUGGGGAUAACAGGCUGAUCUCCCCCAAGCGUCCAUAGCGACGGGGAGGUUUGGCACCUCGAUGUCGGCUCGUCGCAUCCUGGGGCUGGAGAAGGUCCCAAGGGUUUGGCUGUUCGCCAAUUAAAGCGGCACGCGAGCUGGGUUCAGAACGUCGUGAGACAGUUCGGUCCCUAUCCGGCGCGGGCGCAGAAGGCUUGAGGGAUGCCGUCCUUAGUACGAGAGGACCGGGACGGGGGCGCCUCCGGCGCACCAGCUGU